GAUGAACGCUGGCGGCGUGCCUAAUACAUGCAAGUCGAGCGAAUGGAUUAAGAGCUUGCUCUUAUGAAGUUAGCGGCGGACGGGUGAGUAACACGUGGGUAACCUGCCCAUAAGACUGGGAUAACUCCGGGAAACCGGGGCUAAUACCGGAUAACAUUUUGAACCGCAUGGUUCGAAAUUGAAAGGCGGCUUCGGCUGUCACUUAUGGAUGGACCCGCGUCACAUUAGCUAGUUGGUGAGGUAACGGCUAACCAAGGCAACGAUGCGUAGCCGACCUGAGAGGGUGAUCGGCCACGCUGGAACUGAGACACGGCCCAGACUCCUACGGGAGUCAGCAGUAGGGAAUCUUACGCAAUGGACGAAAGUGUGAGGGAGCAACGCCGCGUGAGUGAUGAAGGCUUUCGGGUCGUAAAACUCUGUUGUGAGGGAAGAACAAGUGCUAGUUGAAUAAGCUGGCACCUUGACGGUACCUAACCAGAAAGCCACGACUAACUACGUGCCAGCCGCCGCAGUAA
Molecule: ribosomal RNA, 515 nt
Filed under: uncultured bacterium
Lineage: Bacteria
Description: partial 16S ribosomal RNA
Rfam family: Bacterial small subunit ribosomal RNA
Source: RNAcentral